Molecule: long non-coding RNA, 549 nt
Organism: Physeter macrocephalus (sperm whale)
Lineage: Eukaryota; Metazoa; Chordata; Mammalia; Artiodactyla; Physeteridae
Exons: 3
Source: RefSeq, a predicted model, not a curated record
UCUGUGCUUGUGCGGCGUGUGGGGUGAGCGCCCGGGGCGGUGUGAGGGGGGCGCCGGUGUGCGCGCGAGCGGCGGGCGGGCGCGCGCGCGGGCCGGGAGCCAGGGCGCGUCCCCGCGUCCCCGCUUCCCCCCACACAGUGGCUGGGCUGACAGCCGGGCGGAGAAGAAAACUAGACGUCAGGGAAAUCAGUCAGAGACAAAUCGAUUCCCUUCAGAGAAACCUGGAAGCGAGGCAGCAUUCACCAUGAUGCAGUCAGGAGCCCAAGGCCCUGAGAGGUCACAUGACUCACUCAAGGUCAUCCUGCCGUAGCAGAGAUGCGACGAGCCCUGCCUUUGUGUUUCCCCUGUGACACUGUACCCUCUUCACCACCCCUGCCUGCAGCGCAUCGCAACUCAGAGAGGGAACCGGGCAGAGCAGCAGCGUCUGGACUGGUGUUUCGGGAGCUGCGGGCUCUGGUCUAUCUCCGAGUUUGAUGCAGUGUCUGGAUUCUGCAAACCCUUUCCUCUUCCUGGUUCCCGGAGUCAGAAGGGACCAUGGUUUUAUCUAUU